CUAAUUUUAUGGGUCUCACUAAUUAGCGACAACAAGCGUCAAGAAGCGACAACAAGCGUCAACAAGCGACAAGAAGCGACAACAAGAAUUAUUUUAGCGACAACAAGCGACAAGAAGACUAUUUAGCGACAAGAAAACAUUUUUUUUUAUUAGAUAUAAAGAAAUUUGUAUUUAAUAGUUUUUUUUUUAAAUAUACGAGCAGAUAUGUCUAAUUAAAAUGUUUUAUUAUAUAG
This 233-nucleotide long non-coding RNA is filed under the name Mytilus galloprovincialis (Mediterranean mussel). The record is from RNAcentral. Lineage: Eukaryota; Metazoa; Mollusca; Bivalvia; Mytilida; Mytilidae.